AUACGGAGGGUGCAAACGUUGUUCGGAAUUACUGGGCGUAAAGCGCGCGUAGUCGGUUUGUUAAGUCAGAUGUGAAAGUCCACAGCUCAACUGUGGAAGUGCAUUUGAAACUGGCAGACUUGAGUACUUGAGGGGGUGGUGGAAUUCCCGGUGUAGAGGUGAAAUUCGUAGAUAUCGGGAGGAAUACCGGUGGCGAAGGCGACCACCUGGCCAGAUACUGACGCUGAGGUGCGAAAGCGUGGGGAGCAAACGGGAUUAGAAACCCUAGUAGUCC
This 274-nucleotide ribosomal RNA is filed under the name uncultured bacterium. Its description in RNAcentral is "partial 16S ribosomal RNA". It matches the Rfam family "Bacterial small subunit ribosomal RNA", at positions 523 to 796 of the family's 1533-position model. The record is from RNAcentral.